RNAcentral lists this ribosomal RNA (505 nucleotides) under uncultured bacterium. RNAcentral's name for it is "partial 16S ribosomal RNA". It matches the Rfam family "Bacterial small subunit ribosomal RNA", at positions 28 to 507 of the family's 1533-position model. The record is from RNAcentral.
GACGAACGCUGGCGGCGUGCCUAAUACAUGCAAGUAGAACGCACAGUUUAUACCGUAGCUUGCUACACCAUAGACUGUGAGUUGCGAACGGGUGAGUAACGCGUAGGUAACCUGCCUGGUAGCGGGGGAUAACUAUUGGAAACGAUAGCUAAUACCGCAUAAUAUUGAUUAUUGCAUGAUAAUUGAUUGAAAGAUGCUAUUGCAUCACUACCAGAUGGACCUGCGUUGUAUUAGCUAGUAGGUGAGGUAACGGCUCACCUAGGCGACGAUACAUAGCCGACCUGAGAGGGUGAUCGGCCACACUGGGAAUGAGACACGGCCCAGACUCCUACGGGAGGCAGCAGUAGGGAAUCUUCGGCAAUGGACGAAAGUCUGACCGAGCAACGCCGCGUGAGUGGAGAAGGUUUUCGGAUCGUAAAGCUCUGUUGUAAGAGAAGAACGGGUGUGAGAGUGGAAAGUUCACACUGUGACGGUAUCUUACCAGAAAGGGACGGCUAACUACGUG